UCAGUAACAAGGAUUCAUCCUCGU
This 24-nucleotide microRNA is filed under the name Columba livia (rock pigeon). RNAcentral describes it as "Cli-Mir-459_5p (mature (guide))". The record is from RNAcentral. Lineage: Eukaryota; Metazoa; Chordata; Aves; Columbiformes; Columbidae.